AUUGAACGCUGGCGGCAUGCCUAACACAUGCAAGUCGAACGGCAGCACGGUCUAGCUUGCUAGAUGGGUGGCGAGUGGCGCACGGGUGAGUAACGCGUAGGAAUAUGCCUUGAAGUGGGGGAUAACUUGGGGAAACUCAAGCUAAUACCGCAUAAGCUCUUAGGAGGAAAGCUGGGGACCGUAAGGCCUGGCGCUUCAAGAUUAGCCUGCGUCCGAUUAGCUAGUUGGUGGGGUAAGGGCCUACCAAGGCGACGAUCGGUAGCUGGUCUGAGAGGAUGGCCAGCCACACUGGGACUGAGACACGGCCCAGACUCCUACGGGAGGCAGCAGUGGGGAAUAUUGGACAAUGGGGGCAACCCUGAUCCAGCAAUGCCGCGUGUGUGAAGAAGGCCUGAGGGUUGUAAAGCACUUUCAGUGGGGAGGAGGAUUGACAGGUUAAGAGCUAGUUAAUUGGACGUUACCCACAGAAGAAGCACCGGCUAACUCCGUGCCAGCAGCCGCCGCCG
RNAcentral lists this ribosomal RNA (506 nucleotides) under uncultured bacterium. Its description in RNAcentral is "partial 16S ribosomal RNA". It matches the Rfam family "Bacterial small subunit ribosomal RNA", at positions 29 to 523 of the family's 1533-position model. The record is from RNAcentral.